UACGGAGGGGGCUAGCGUUGUUCGGAAUUACUGGGCGUAAAGCGCAUGUAGGCGGCUUGUUAAGUCGGGGGUGAAAUCCCGGGGCUCAACCCCGGAAUGGCCUUCGAUACUGGCAAGCUAGAGUUCGAGAGAGGCAAGCGGAAUGGCGAGUGUAGAGGUGAAAUUCGUAGAUAUUCGCCGGAACACCAGUGGCGAAGGCGGCUUGCUGGCUCGAUACUGACGCUGAGAUGCGAAAGCGUGGGGAGCAAACAGG
Molecule: ribosomal RNA, 253 nt
Filed under: uncultured bacterium
Lineage: Bacteria
Description: partial 16S ribosomal RNA
Rfam family: Bacterial small subunit ribosomal RNA
Source: RNAcentral